Molecule: non-coding RNA, 418 nt
Organism: Corylus avellana
Lineage: Eukaryota; Viridiplantae; Streptophyta; Magnoliopsida; Fagales; Betulaceae
Source: RefSeq, a predicted model, not a curated record
GUUUUCUUAUUCAUGGUUUUUCACUCUCUCUGUCCCUCUGUCUCUCAGGUUGUUACUCUGUCAUUUCCGGCCAUGCAAUGGGCAUGGAAUAUUGGAAUGGAAGGGAAGGGAUAUCUUCCCAACCAAUGGGUCGAACCCUCCGCCGCACAAUCAAUGCUCAUCUUCUCUUCCUUGCAAAUCUGCCUUAACCUCUUCUGCAUCUCCCGUAACAAAAGGAAGGUGAAGGAUGUAAUAUUCAUGGAUCAAUUGAAGUAAAUAAAGUUGCUGGAAUGUUAGAUUUUGCACUUGCGAAAAGCUUUCAGCAGCCAAAUGUAAAAGAUUUAGGAGAAGCUCUGUUUUGGUUGCUUGCCAAUAACAGAGUGGGUGUAAUGGGUACAUGAAACACCAAAUGGUAUGCACCAAUAUUUCAUCAAGGUUG